GGGACAGGAUGAGAGGUGAGGAACGAACAGGAUGAGGAGAGGUGAGGAACAGGAUGAGGAGAGGUGAGGUGAGGGACAGGAUGAGAGGGGAGGGACAGGAUGAGGAAAGAGGUGAGGGACAGGAUGAGAGGUGAGGUGAGGGACAGGAUGAGGAGAGGUGAGGGACAGGAUGAGAGGAGAGGGACAGGAUGAGGAAAGGAGAGGUGAGGGACAGGAUGAGGAGAGCAGAGGUGAGGGACAGGAUGAGAGGUGAGGUGAGGGACAGGAUGAGGAGAGGAGAGGGGAGGGGAGGGACAGGUCUGUGACUGCAGCCGACUUGCAGGCUUGUGUGGGACCGCAGAGUGGCUGGAGUCCUGGCCCGGGAGUUCAGCCCCCUCCGGCCCCGUCACCUUGACCAGACCCCUGAGCCCGUGAGCUUUGGUUUUGUGUCUGUGAAGUGGGGACCGUUGUGCGUGUUGUAAAGUCUGACACCAUGACCUAGAGCAAACUCACGUUCAUCGUGAAUUUAAAUGCUCGAUCAUAAAUCAGUUUUACGUAAAACAUUAAUUCCCUAGUUAGAAAUAAAAAUUAAGCUGGGAAUCCCAUGAUGACAGCGUUUCCCAGUUUUACACCACCUGGUGUGUGUGUGACUGUUCUAGUGUCAAAGGUCCAUUUUGUUUUCACAAGACGCACCAGAGCUCAAACGGCUGUCUUCUGCGGACGUUGUUCCAAGCCGACAGACCCACGCUGAGCGUGUGCGAGCGGUGAGAGCGACUCCACGUGGCAGACAUGCGACAGGCCUACGAGGUCCGAGUCCCCGAGGAGAAGAGCGAGCCCGCCGGGGCGCCGCUCGGCCUGUGAGGUCCACAGGAGGAAAGGCCGCGGGCCCGGGCCCCCGCCGUGUCACCCUGGAGCCAGGAGGCUGAGAGCAGGCGUGGGGUCUGUUCUUCCCCUUGACACGUCCGCUGCCGCGGAGCUUCUGGCGAGAAGGUGAAACGAGUCAACGGUGCCCGCCAAGGUACUUGCGACGUUGCGCAUUUUCUUCGAAGAGUCGGCUCUGCAAUGGGCCUUGGGUCAGGGGGGCACAAGCUUUCCUCCGGGACCUCAGGGUGCACCGAGUGGCCUCCCUCCUGCCUCGCUCCGGGAGGCCGGUCGUGAAAGCAGGAACUGUGUCUUCUUCCUUCUCUUACAACGAACCCCGUGCAGAGUCUCACACAGACGGACCAUGGCGUGUGUCCCGCGGUCCCCAGAAGAGCGGGAACCCCUGUUGGGGACACACGCCUGCCGCCAUCUCCAACGCCACCUAAGCCCCUCAAUAGCUUCUCGCACCCCCGACCCAAGGCAGCAGCGCGCAUGUGGGUUUUUCGCAAUUCCCUUUGGUCUCCUCAUAAUUAUUCCGAAUACGAACAUGAAUGAAUUCUGAAACCUUAUUGCCUAUUUCUGCUUACUCGGCACGUAGAUCCGAUUCUGCUCUCGGACUGGCCCCUUCGCUUCUAUACAGUGUUUUACUCUCUGUCGCUGCUGGCCGGUCGGGGACUGUCUUCUCAGCAGGAGUGUGAACUGACCGCUGACCCGUCCGGCUCCUCUCGAGGAUCCAGCGCUACACUGUGAGCAGUCGUGCACCCACGAGUCUUCCCCUGGGGCGCGCACCCGCGGGGGCCUCCGGUGUCCCCCGAGGGAAACCCUGCAACUUCCUGAGAUGACAGCAAGUGACUUUCCAGGUGGCUCCUCGCUCACCAGGCAGUAAUAGUGGUGGGCACGCUUUCAGGCGCUGGAACCCGCCCACGGCGAGGGGAGUUCUUGUCACUCUGCGUCCUCAUCCGUGCUCAGCACCAACCCGGUGGACGUGAGAUGCCAUUCCAUGGUAGUUGUGAUUUGCACUUCCCUGUUCACAAAUAAGGUUAAGCCGCUUUCCUUACGUUUACUGUCCGCUUGUGACUUUUCUUCCAUGAAAUAUUUUUCUCUUUUGCUCCGUUGUUUCUAUUCGGUUGUCCUUUCUUAGAUUUUUGCCAAAUCAAACUUUUUUAAUUGAAUGCAGAUUUUUUUCAGACUUUCCUCUGGUUUGUUUUCCCAGAGCAAGGUUAUUAAAAAGCAACAUUUCUUUUUCCUUUCAAGUUUUACCUUUUGUCAGUAGAAGGACCACAGAUAGUAACUUUAUGUCAGAUAAAGCUAUGUGCAAAUCCCAAAUUUAAUGGCCUGUCAUUUUAUCUGUAAGUUACAUGGUCCUAAGAAAAUCAAAGAACACAAGUCUGCUCAUUGCUGUGAAAGGAGAAGUCAAAGCUCUAAGACAAAGUGGGCUCCAGGCGCAAUUUCAACUGCUGGGUAGGAGCUCCAUGCAGACACACCGGGAGGUUCUGUGUGGACAGGCUUUGGGGACCGUUGCUGGUGCAGGGUGUUCAAGUAAAAAGCUUAAGAAAUGAAAAGUCCAAUGCAGUUCGAGAGUUGAAUUGCAGAUUUUGAGUAGAUAGGAAAGUAGGUAAUGUAUACAACUGACAUUCACCAUCAAGGAUUUCUUGUGUAAAAGUUAAAUACUGAAGCUCGUGAUGUAGUGACAAUAAACAAGGGCGCGUACAACAGUCGCUGGGAGGAACUUUCUCAAGGCUUAUAGGCUUGGCUUUUUCUGGAAGUUGCCGCCCACAGGAGCAAGCAGGUCCCGUGCCAGCCCAGGGGCGGUGCCUCCGAGCAGGGGGACGGGACAGGUGGUCGCAUGUGGCAAAAGCAAAAGGAUCUCCCAGGAAGCUGAGGAGAACGGCUCCUUAAGGGGAGAUGAGUCCAAUCUUGGACUCUAAGAGCCUCAAGAAUUCAUUUUCAGGGUCACGUAGCCCACGACAGUAAAGCAAGGGUCACGUAUGCACACGCUUUAUCACUUGCAAGGUGAUUAUAGGGCCGCUCUCACAACCACCAUGCGAGGACCGCAGCACGGGGCUUGGAUCUGGCGCGAUGUGAACAUUCGGGACGUCGAGCAGCUUGUCCGUUCAGACUCAGGACCCAGAAGCUCCACCUGUAAAUCAGCUGACAAGACCUUGUCCCGCCGCCCUGCCGGGGCCCAUUCCGACGGCGGGCAAAGCAGGUGCAGCUCCGUCUGCCGGGCCCCUCCUGCCCUCCUGCUCGGCUUCCAGCACACUGCUCUGGCGACAGACAUCCCCCCAGACCGUGGACCUGGGGUCUCUGGGAAGAAGAGAUUCAGGCGCACCCACGGGGGACGCAGGACGGAAGAGGCAGAAACGCACCACUCCUGCGCUAUCUUAAGCCUGGUCUCGACGGUGUGCGUGCGUAUACACACGUACGUGAGGUUAGGGGGACAGUCAGCCUAGUCUCAGGUUGGUCACCAGCCCCUGCCUCCAUCCAUUCCGGCUUUCCUGCCAGAGGUCAUAUGGUUCAGAAAGGCUUCUCUGCACAUCUCAGCAUCUACGGCAUUGACACAUACGGCCCGAUUCUAGCCCGACUGGCCGCCUGAGAAACACCAUCAACGUCUGAGAAAGGAUUCCUUCCACACGACGUGACCCCACCCUCGCCACACCCCGACGCAUCUCUUUCUGAACGGUGGCACCGGGCGAGUCCCGCCGUGGUCGGCUGUGAGCAGGGAUGGAGGUCCCGGCCGGAGACUGCUCGGACCCAGGGAACACGACCGGAGUGACCUGUUAUUUCAAGCAGAUGUAAACGCAUGCUAUCGAUCUGGGCUUUCAUCAGUGACACGGUAUUUGAAUUACUGCUUCGAUGGGUCGCACGUGUCCGUGACCUUCAGGCCUCAGGGUCAUGGACCCGGCAGCUGGGCUCAGGUGUGACACAUAGCAGGAUGCUUUUCCACCUGAAGCGGGCAAAGGCGGAGACCUGGCUUUUCCAUCUUUUCCCUCCUGCUUUUCUUCUUCUCCCCCUGCCUGCUGCUCAGUGCUUAUCACAGACCCGUUAGGGUCCAGACCCCACGCUAGGUCUAAAUACACAACGGCCAGAAGACGACACAGCCCCAGCUCUCACGAGCUGACCAUCUACUGAGGCAAACAGAAAAGCAGACCAGCAGUUUGACGUCCUGUGACAGACACGUAGAUCCACGGGAGCACAUCGCAGUCAAGAUCCAGAACACUCCCAUCCUUCCAGAAAGUUCUUCAUGCUGCCUUCCAGUCACCCCUCAUUCCACCGAAGUAGUAACGGCUGCUCUGAUUUCCACAGAAGCUUCUCUGCCGAAAUGUGUCAGGGCCCGAACAAGGGAAAAUGGGCUUCUUUGUGUGUCCCCAGGGGAAUCCGUCAGGACGGAGGAGGCAACGCAGAGUGGGAGCUGUCCGCGGACGGAGAGAGGACAAGGAGGGGGGGCUCCAGCAGUUAGCCGGCGAGGGCUGCCCAAGCGGGAAGGAGGAGCUCCAGACAGAGAGAAAACAAGAUGGACGGGAAAGGAGGACGACGGACACAUACGUGUUUAUGACUCUGGGGUAAUGUUUCACCAUUUACACAGCGGAGCCCUCUCCCCUUGCUCGGCUUUGUUGAGAAUGCACUAAAAUAAUGCAUUUUCAUCAAAAUAUUAACAAAAGGUGAUUCUCCAUCAUCCUUGUACUCCCUGAAAUCCUGACCUCAUGCCAGAGCCUGGACAAGAUUACCAUGCAGUUAAACAGCCUCAACUUAAGCUUGGCUACUGUACCAGCUUUAAAGUAGGUUAUUCGAAAAAUUGCAUGUUACUCUUGCCUUUAUAUAUUAUAUAAAAUGUGCCUAUGUCAAAAUUUAUGCAGCUCAGAGACACCCCCAAAGGGUCAUUGGUUGAUAAAAGAGCAGUAUUACUCAGCAGUUCUUAAUAUUUAACUUUUUAAAAAGAUUUCUUAAAAAUUUGAGAGCGAGAGAGUACAGGCAAGAGAGAGCACGAAAGGAGGAGGGGCAGAGACAAAGGGAGAAGCAGGCUCCCCGCUGAGCAGAGAGCCCGACGCAGGGCUCCAUCCCGGGACCCUGGGAUCAUGACCUGAGUGGAAGGCAGUCACUUAACCGACUGAGCCACCCAGGUGCCCCCAUAAUCUUUUAACCAACUGAGCCACCCAGGUGCCCGGUGCCCCCAUAAUCUUUUAACAAACAAAAUGCUUACCCCAUCAACAUUAUCUGAAGUUUAUAAAUGACUCAGACAUUGUGACUAAAGACAAAGCAGAACAAAGCCCCGUUUAGGGUGUGCAUUUUCAAUGUGUGUCCUCACUGGGGCUCCCCUCUCCGCAGACGCCCCGGUACCCACCCCCAGCUAAUCCAACAGCUCCUGACUUGACACUCAGUGGGUUAAUAAGGCAUCCAGUAACAAAUAAGCUUUUACAGCUUAUGUUUUAGGGUUCCAUACGAGGUUAAGUCUUUUAAUUUUUUUUCCAUGUUGUUUAACCUCCAUGUAUUUGUGGUCUUUCCAGUUUUUUCAAGUUUCAUAGCAUUUCGGUCAGAAAAUAUGCACGGUAUGAUCUCAGUCUUUUCGUACUUGUUGAGGACUGAUUUGUGACCCAGUAUGUGAUCCAUUCUGGAGAAUGUCCCAUGUGUACUUGUGAAGAAUGUGUAUUCUGCUGUUUGAGGAUGGAAUGCUCUGAAUAUAUGUGUGAAGUCCGUCUGGUCCAGUGUGUCAUUCAAAGCCCUUGUUUCCUUAUUUUCUGCUUAGAUGAUCUGUCCAUUGCUGUGAGUGGGUAGAUUAAAUCUUCCUAUUUAUUCUUUGCUAUUUAAAUAAAUACACCAUAUAUUCUGAAUAUGUACAGCUUUGGUCUUUAAAGUGUGUGCUCAUCAUUCAGAAUAAUCAUGGCUGGAGUUAACCCUAUUGAAGUCAAAAUAACCAAAGUCCCCUCAACAUUCCCCUGCCUCCCCAAGUCCCAGGCAUGAACACGUUAGAGACUCAUGGGCUGGAUGCAUGGCGGAGUCAUGGUGCGGCCCCCUGGGUCGUUUGAAACCCAGCCUUCACACAUUACACAUUAAUACUCAGCUGCCUUUGGUGAAAUUCAAAUUUGGCCCUUAGCUGGCAGGCAUUUUCAGCCAUCACAUGGUUGGCUUUUUUUUUUUUUUCAAGAUUGUGUUGUUUUUAUUUUCAACACUUUGCUCAUAUUUUUUCAUUCUCAUCGCUCAAUCAGAAAGUCUUCGGGAUGGAGUCCCUGCACUGUGGAACCUGAUGCUCUGUCCGGCUACAGGGUCAGGAUGGAGUGGGAUUCUAGGACACACCCCACUGGUGUCAGAGAUUCGGUUGUCGGUGGUGUGAGGAGCCCUCCCCGAACACACACGUCGGAAAUGGGGCAUCAGGACACUUCCACCAACUACGCCGAUGGAUAUGGAUCGCUGUGAAGUAAAGACUUCAAGAUUUUUAUUUUAUAGAUUUAUUGGCCACUAAACUCACGGUUAUCUUAAUGCUCUAUGUAGGCACUAAGCCUAGAUCUAACGAAUCUGAGAAAGACCUUCCUGAUUCUGAGGCAGGUGGCCUGAAAACCACGCUGAGAAACCACAUACCCUCUAAUUUGUACAGGUUAGGACCAGGUGAGUGAAUGAUUUCAUCUAUAGGUCAAUGGUGACAAGUAAUGGUCACCCAAGGGUCACACGCACCUCUUAAUUGAUAACCCUGUUUAAUAUAGUUUUUCAAUUUUUUUAUGAAUUACAAUUCUUAGAAAAUUAGCAACUAUAGCUAGCUUGAAAGGAAUCUCUCUAAAAAAUGUUCCUGAGUGUCCCACUCUUAAAACUGAGUUGGUUUCUCUGCUCAUCAGAAUCCUGUAGAUCCUAUUUAUUCAUAAAUGAAACUGCAGCUCAGAAAUGGCAUGGUUUUCUGUUCUGACUACAGCUCUGAGGGUAGGAUUCGGCAGCUCGUGGCUUGUCCGAGAGAGACAGGGCGGGCGUGGUGAGACCAGGGCGGCAGGUGGUGGGCAAGGUGGCCGGUCUGCAGGCUGCCAGGAAGAAGGGUGGCUGGUGGCGUUUUUGAGGUGAGUCAGGCAGUUCAUGCGAGAAGCAUGUGCACAGAGGAAGAGGCCGCGCUGGGAAAGGCAGGGCUCGGGGCCUCGUGGCAGGCUUGGGGGGCCACGCACGUACCGAAGAGGAAUGGGAAACCCAGUUAUAGGAACAGAGGCACGGGGUGUGGGGGCCAGGGACAGAGGUGGCUGAGGCUCAAGUAUGAUGGCAGAGACCGGGACCCACAGUUACCACCAUCAUGCGUACCGGAUACGACGCACAGUGCUCAGCCUCUCACACGAUUGCCCUCUGCAACCUUGGCAGAGGCUCCACAGCAGAAGGUCCAUCCCAUGGGUGAGCGAACUUAGCCCAGCUUCCUAAGUGAAGUCACACUAAGUGCAAGCAUGGAUGGAGAAGUCGGUGCCCUGGAGCCCUGGUGGGAGGGUGCGGUGUGCACACACACGUCUGGGCUGCGUGUGACCGUGUAAGAGCGUGGAAUGGGACAGGGAACUGGAGGGGUUCCCCCCGGUCACUGAGAGACUGACACCCAGGAACGGGGAUGGAGUGGGAUUGUGAGGUCAGGUCCAACCAAGGGCAGGAGUGAUGCCCACGCAGUGGCCGGGGUGGGGAGGGCAGAGGAGGCAGCCGUGCUUCACUUCUGGCCCCAGUCAAGACGGGUUUGGGACCCGGGAGGUGAACGGGGGCUGGGGGGAUGGGCUAGCUGUGUCUGCACACACAGACGGCGCCUCGUUCCAGAGUAGCUUCAACAAGAGAAGCGACAGUCUGCUAUUCCAGCUUCCACGAUAACCGCCAACCCUGAUUCUUGUGCUCCCCACGUUCUCUCUACCCCAAAGGGUUGCCUGAAACCCUUGCCCUAGAAAUCUAUACAGUGAAAUGGAGCAAAGAAGAACUGCCAUUAUCUCCUUCAAACCCGGGUUCCUGGGGAUGGAGCUUCCGUGCUGCGUGUGGAAGAGCAUCCAGAGCCUCGGGGAACGGUCGCGGCGGAGACUCCUAGAAACUCGGUGUGAGCGGUUUAACCUACGCCCUCUUCUCGUUUUAGACUGAGAAAGAUUCCCAAAUGAAACCCUGAUGAGUGGACCCCAUCUGGGGAUGAAGACUACCAUCAGUGAACUCAGAGGGCUGCCCCGGGAGGUCAAGGUGCCAGACUCUACAGCUACAGGACAGAGGAUGCACGUCUGCCUCCCCAUCGAGCCAAGCCGGUCUCCGACUCUGCUCCCUAUGCCGGAGUGUGGUUCCUUCAACAUGUGGCUAGCUGGAAAGAUGAACAGAAGUGACAUGUGUUGAUGUAGAAUUUCUGAGAGGAAGGAUUUUAUUGCCAGUGGGAAGCCUGCCUCAUUCUUCUUUUGCUGAGGAGACUGGAGGCUGGGUCUCUCUCAGCUGGUCCCUGGAUGACCCUGUGAGCAGAGCUCCUCUCCUCACCCACAGUGACCAGGAAAUGGAGUGUGUUUGUUACAUAGACUCCUAGCCUGUCCUGACUGAUACACUUCAUAGCAAAUGAUUUAAAUUGCUUAACAUACUGUUCACCAUCCAUAAUCUCUUUGUUUACUUAUUCUUUGUUGUCUGCUCUUGAAAUGUGAUGUCUAUGUGGGCAGAAACCUUCUCCCUCUUGUUCACUAAUAAAUUCUUCAG
Mirounga angustirostris (Northern elephant seal) is the source of this 8493-nucleotide long non-coding RNA. RefSeq lists it as uncharacterized. The record is from RefSeq and is a predicted model, not a curated record. Lineage: Eukaryota; Metazoa; Chordata; Mammalia; Carnivora; Phocidae. The transcript is spliced from 3 exons.